CAGCAGCCGCGGUAAUACGGAGGGGGCUAGCGUUGUUCGGAAUUACUGGGCGUAAGGCGCACGUAGGCGGCUUGGUAAGUUAGAGGUGAAAGCCCGGAGCUCAACUCCGGAAUUGCCUUUAAGACUGCCGAGCUAGUAGGUGAGAGAGGUAAGUGGAAUUCCGAGUGUAGAGGUGAAAUUCGUAGAUACUCGGAAGAACACCAGUGGCGAAGGCGGCUCACUGGACGCGUAUUGACGCUGAGGUACGAAAGCGUGGGGAGCAAACAGGAUUAGAUACCCGAGUAGUCCCUGUCUCUUAUAC
RNAcentral lists this ribosomal RNA (301 nucleotides) under uncultured bacterium. Its description in RNAcentral is "partial 16S ribosomal RNA". It matches the Rfam family "Bacterial small subunit ribosomal RNA", at positions 509 to 807 of the family's 1533-position model. The record is from RNAcentral.